This 253-nucleotide ribosomal RNA is filed under the name uncultured bacterium. RNAcentral describes it as "partial 16S ribosomal RNA". It matches the Rfam family "Bacterial small subunit ribosomal RNA", at positions 524 to 776 of the family's 1533-position model. The record is from RNAcentral.
GACGAACUGUCCUAACGUUGUUCGGAAUCACUGGGCUUAAAGGGUGCGUAGGCGGUCCGCUAAGUUGGAUGUGAAAACUCUGGGCUUAACCCAGAGCCUGCAUUCAAAACUGACGGGCUAGAGUUCUGGAGGGGGUAGCGGAAUUCCUGGUGUAGCGGUGAAAUGCGUAGAUAUCAGGAGGAACACCGGUGGCGAAGGCGGCUACCUGGACAGAAACUGACGCUGAGGCACGAAAGCUAGGGGAGCAAACAGG